Molecule: small nuclear RNA, 118 nt
Filed under: Fukomys damarensis (Damara mole-rat)
Lineage: Eukaryota; Metazoa; Chordata; Mammalia; Rodentia; Bathyergidae
Description: U2 spliceosomal RNA
Rfam family: U2 spliceosomal RNA
About the family: U2 is a small nuclear RNA (snRNA) component of the spliceosome (involved in pre-mRNA splicing). Complementary binding between U2 snRNA (in an area lying towards the 5' end but 3' to hairpin I) and the branchpoint sequence (BPS) of the intron results the bulging out of an unpaired adenosine, on the BPS, which initiates a nucleophilic attack at the intronic 5' splice site, thus starting the first of two transesterification reactions that mediate splicing.
Source: Rfam by way of RNAcentral
AUCUCUUCUCAGCCUUUUGGCUAAGAUCAUGUACAGUAUCUGUUCUUACCAGUUUAAUAUUAUACCAACUUAUAUUCAAAAAACAUACCAACAAAAGUUCUGAGAAAAGCCACACCAA